GGAGUUUGAUCUUGGCUCAGGAUGAACGCUGGCAGCAUUCUUAACACAUGCAAGUCGGAUGGGAAGUGGUGUUUCCAAUGGUGGACGGGUGAGUAACGUGUAAGAACCUACCCUUGGGAGGGGAACAACAACUGGAAACGACUGUUAAUACCCCAUAGGCUGAGGAGAAAAAGGAGGAAUCCGCUCAAGAAGGGGCUCGCGUCUGAUUAGUUAGGUUGGUGAGGCAAUGGCUUACCAAGGCGCGAUCAGUAGCUGAGUCCGGAGUGAUGAUCAGCCACAACUGGGACUGAGACAUGGCCCAGACUCCUACGGGAGGUAGCAGUGGGGAAUUUUCCACAAUGGGCGAAAGCCUAACGGAGCAAUUCCACGUGAAGGCAGAAGGCCCAUGGGUCAUGAACUUCUUUUCUCGAAGAAGAAAAAACGACGGUAUCUGAGGAAUAAGCAUCGGCUAACUUUGUGCCAGCAGUUGCGGUAAGAUAGAGGAUGCAAGCAUUAUCUUGAAUGAUUGGGUGUAAAGCAUCUGUAGGUGGCUUUUCAAGUUUGCUGUCAAAUCCCAGGGAUCAACCCUCGAUAGGCAGCGGAGACUACCAAGCUGGAGUAUGGUAGGGGCAGAGGGAAUUUCUGGUGGAGUAGUGAAAUGUGUUGAGAUCGGAAAGAACACUAAUGGUCAAAACACUCUGCUGGGCUGAAAUUGACACUGAGAGAUAAAAGCUAGGGGAGAAAAUCGGAUUAGAUACCCUUAGUAUCCACCGUAAACAAUGGUACUAAGUGUUGUGAGUACUCAACCCAGGCUGCCAGUGUCGUGCGCUUAACAAUUAAGUUAUCCCGCUGGGAUUACAUUCACAAGGAAAACUCAAAGGAGUUGACAGGGCCUGCACAGGUGGUGGUAGAUGUGGUUCAAUUCGAUGCAAAGUGAAGAACCUAUCGAGGCUGGACAUUUUGCAUGCUUCCUCCCAAAGAGAGGAGUGCCUUUGAGAACGCGACAUAGGUGCGAGUAUGUGCAUGGCUUAUCGUCAGCUCGUGCCGUAAGGUGUUAGGUUAUGUCCUACAAUGAGCACAACCUUCGCGUUUAGUUUCCAACAUUUAGUUUGGAACCCUGAACAAAAUGCUGGUGAUAAGCUCGAGGAAGGUGAGCGUCAAGUCAUCAUGCCUCUUACACCCUAGGCGACACACAUACUACAAUGACUGGGACAAAGGGUCGUGACCUCGCUAGGCCAAGCUAACCUCAAAAACUCUACCUCAGUUUGGAUUGCAGGCUACAGCUCACCUGCAUGAAGCUGGAAUCACUAGUAAUCGUCGAUCAUCCAUAUAGUGGUGAAUCCAUUCCCGAGCCUUGUACACACUUCCCGUCACAGUAUGGGAGUUGGCCAUGUGCCAAGUCGUUACCUUAACCACAAGGAGGGGGACGCCAAAGGCUGGGCUAGUGAAUGGAAUGAAGUCGUAACAAGGUAUCUGUACUGGAAGGUGCGACUG
RNAcentral lists this ribosomal RNA (1473 nucleotides) under Pinus taeda (loblolly pine). RNAcentral's name for it is "bacterial SSU rRNA". It matches the Rfam family "Bacterial small subunit ribosomal RNA". The record is from RNAcentral. Lineage: Eukaryota; Viridiplantae; Streptophyta; Pinopsida; Pinales; Pinaceae.